RNAcentral lists this long non-coding RNA (1894 nucleotides) under Manihot esculenta (cassava). RNAcentral describes it as "long non-coding RNA (MESC_LNC003170)". Lineage: Eukaryota; Viridiplantae; Streptophyta; Magnoliopsida; Malpighiales; Euphorbiaceae. The record is from RNAcentral.
UUAUUGUCUGGUGGUGCUGAGGAGGUUUCAAACUUGUGUCUUCUCUCUAGCCGGUGGUCUCUGUUUCUACUAUAAGAAAAGGCUCUUACAUGUCGACAAUGACAAUAUGCGUUUAGUGACCACCAGUCCAAUGGGAGUUUUAUUGCAUCGCCUCCCUUCGAGUGAUGCUGUGGCACUUCGAUCCUUCUUUCAUUCUAGUUUUAUUUAGCGAUCAGCAUCGCAUCCCUUCUGAGUGAUGUGCUUUGUUUUGGAUUUUCUAUUUCUUUUUUAGAUUUUUCAGGUCUGGAUCUGUAUUGUGCAUGUUGUUUUCUAAGUAUGCCCUCUUUUUUUCCUCCAGCUAUCUAUGAUGCCCAUAGUCUUAGGCGGUGGAUAAAGCUGCAUGGGCUGGAUUUAGAUUUAGGCUGAGCUAUAAUUAUUGGAUUUUAGGCUAGACUUUUCUUAAAUUUGUAUUUGCUGUUUGGCGGAAUCAACUUUCAAAUACAAAUUCACCUUUGCAUGUUACUGUGGCAUCAACAUUGACACUCACCAAACUCAAUUGCUACUGUAAAAUUUUAAAUUAUAUAUUUUUGUUAAAUAUUCAAUUUCACCUAUAAAUUUGUUUGAAAUGUUCUACUUAUCUAUUCUUUUAUUAUAUUUGUUUAAAUUAAUUUUAAUGUUUCAAUUUAAAUUUAAUUUAGCUCACAAUGAAAAUUUUUUGAGAGCAAAAGCUCAAUUUUGUUUUAAAUUUUUAAGCUAAUUUUAAUUAAUUAACUCAAAAAUUAAAAAUUUAAUUUCUAAUUUCUCUUAUUUUUAGGUUAAAUUGAAUUUAAAUUAAAAAAUUAAAUAUAUUUGCACAAAAAUUUAAAAUAUGUUAAAUUAAAUAUUCGUUCCUUUUUAUUUGGUGUUCUUUUCUUAAUUUUUCCUUUCCCCUGCUUUGGACAGUGAAAAAACUUUUGAUAAUUUGUUCCUUUUUAUUUGACCCUUCGAUUUUGGUUUGUUCCUUCGCUGGGAGAGUGGCUAGGUUAAAGUUUUUUCGUUGGUUUUGCUUUUCUUUUGGUGUGGUGUAGGUUCUAGUGUUUUCUCGCCGGUAAAUAAUAAGCUGUGCAUUUAAGGGUGUUUCGAUUAGUAUGUGAAGAGUUUUGAUUUUGACGACAUUAGCAUCUCGAGAUUGCACCGCCACGUUCCACGAGCACCACUCCCAUAUGAUAUAUUGCAUGCACCACUCCCACAUGCUGUAAAUCGGCUAAAUUUUGCUACGUCCUCUCUAUUAAUAUUUUCUGGAUGCUUGGUAUUAAAUUUAAUGGACUGCUAUCUAUUUUGUCACUAUUAUAUUAAAUUUAAUGGAUUGCUAUCUAUUUUGGCGCUAUUGUAUUGUGAUGUGAUUUCUCUUAUUUUUUUUCUUUUUUAUUUUCGUUGCUAUUAUGUGCCUCUUUAUGAUGAUGUUUAAUGUUUGUGUUUGCCUCCUACAGCAUCUCACUAAUAAAAUUAACGUAGUUGAGUUGGUUGCGAUUGGAUUGGUGCUGCAGUUGUUAUAGUAUAUGUUCCUCUUCUGUGCGAUUUUUUUUAUUUUGAUUGAUUUAUUUAAUUAAUUUAAUUUUUUUUAUUUUAAUACGAUUUAGUAGUUGUUUUUGAGCUUGUUUUGUAGCAUGUCAGUUUGGACAUUUAGUUUUUCAGUUGUAAUUAUUUACUCUUAUGAAUCAUGUGAAAAUGCAAUAUAUUAUGUAUUGAUAAUAAAAAAAUUAUCGUUAUUUUUUUUCUCAAUUUUUAUUUAAAAAUUGUACAGGUUAAAAGGAGUUAUAUUACCAAUUAGCAGUGGGCAACACGCGCAUUAAAGACGACUUGUGUACGACUUUUCCUCACUUGAAUGUUUAUGAUCUGAAGACACCUUGGCCAGACAAUGACAGAAUGACUGAUA